This is a long non-coding RNA of Passer domesticus (house sparrow), 5465 nucleotides long. RefSeq lists it as uncharacterized. The transcript is spliced from 2 exons. The record is from RefSeq and is a predicted model, not a curated record. Lineage: Eukaryota; Metazoa; Chordata; Aves; Passeriformes; Passeridae.
GGUUCUGAAAACAACUGCAUGAGCAGGACAGGAGCUGCUCACAGAGGGCUGCACAGACCCUGGCAGGGGAAAAGCCUCUGCUCAACCCUUCCCACAGGGCUGAGCACACAAACAAGAACAGCAAGACAGAUGUUCAGAUGAACAUUUGACACAUAACAUCUUCUGUGUGCAAAAAUACAGCUAGUAGUUAAAUGCUUCCCUUAAAGAUUAUUUUACCAAUCGUGCUACGUAAGAACACUAGGAUAGAUACAUCAAUGUAAAUCUCUGUGCUGACAGCCCACUCUGAAACAGGACUCCAAGUUUUUCCAUGCAUGGCAUAACUAUGGCAGCCUGAACCCACACUCUGCCUCCAUAAUACACUGGAUUUUUUUUUUUUUUUGCCAGGCCCAGCACUGAAUCAGCAGCAUUCAAUGCAGCCAGCAAGACUGGCCCUUGUAAUUAACAUGGGAUAUGCAAAGGGAUUCCUGAUUCAUUUACACACUCAGAUGUCACCUCCUCUACUUCAGGAUGCUAAACUAGACAAGCCACAGGAGUGGCAAGCUAAGAGACUGCCAGAACCUCCAAUGCUACAAUGAUAUUCAAUCCUUUAAAUCCUAAGCCUAAGAAAGGCCUCCAAAACCAAUAUCCAUCCACACAAACUUCAGUGUAUGAAGAGGAAGAGAAUGAUUCAUUCUCAGAAGAAAUCCUCCAGGCACAGCACAGCUAAAAGCCUGGGAAACAGUGGCAGAAGACACUUCAUGAAGCUUGAAGAUUCCAAAGGUCUUGUCAGGCAGAAGUCAUCAUUGGGGAUUUGGCCUUUAUCUGUACCAGAAAGUAUUACCAGCUCAGUUCUGGGAGAGUGUCAGAGGGUAGCACAAAGCCCUGGGUUCUAAUAAAGCGACCAGCUCCCACACCUGAUGUAACACACUGCACUGCAGAUCAGCACAACCCCAGGGACAGGAUCAGGCCUGCCACAAGCAGCUGUUGUAUCACAAGUGACAAAAACUCUCUCCUCCGUUCCUCUGGCCUUUGUAGCUACAAAUGGCAGGGCUACAACAAUCUCCAGCAACAUUUCUACACUCCCAGGCUCACUAAUUGCCUCUAUUGCCUUGCUCCUUGGAAAGGAUUUUCUACUGCCUCAGACUCUACCACUUCAAGGACACAGUCUGCCUUUUUCCAGGGACAUGGACUUAUUUAGGGCCUUCCACAUGGAAUCAUUUCCUCUACCCUCCUUUUCACUAGCUCUCACUCUACCUGCUUGACAAGGCACACAGCCCAAGGCAAAUACAUAGGCUCUGCUGACUCCCACAUAACUGAAGACACAUCCUGAUUUUCACCUCAAGUCCCAAGAACACUUAGCAGAAAGGAAGAGAAUAAGUAUUAGAGCUGGGCAACAAAAGUGUAGAAGUGCAGAGAAUUCAAUGGAGAAGUGGUGGCCACUUUGGAAUUCAGCCACGAGCAGGGUUUAUAUUGGAAAGAGCAAGGUGAACAGGAGCCACCCACUCACACUGCUCCUUGGAGUAACAUUUCUGACCUUUUACAAAGGUCCUGUAAUUAGAUGGCCCACCCAUUCCCAUCUCCAGAAAGACGACUAAUUACCAUUUCCAGCCCUAGCACGGUUCUCUUCAAGUUCUGUAGAAACCACAGAAGAGGUGGAAAUCCUCUCCAGCCAAGCCAGGGAGCAUUUCAUCUGUGCUUCAUGGAGGGCCCAGAGAGAAACAUGAAGAAACACAGACUGAGCAGGGGCCCAACACCUGAGUACAAUCCAAGCUCACUGCACUGGAAGUUAACACAGCCCUCCCAACAGACAGGAAACAAGCACCACCACCAGCUACUGGACAUGCAGCAGGAGCAGGCAGCAGGAUCUUGGAACUGAACAACACAACAAGAAAUUUGAGGAAGGCUUUUUGAUUUUUCAGGACUAAGCUUCCAAACACAAUCAGUAAGCAGACACAGCACUCUAAAGAACAUACAACAGCUUCUCCUAUUUUACAUGGAGGACUUGCAGUUGCCUUGAAGAGUUUGGGGAGCUAAGAGGCAGAAAGAAGUGGAACAGGUCAGACAUGCUACAAGUUCAAGAGAGGUGCUGAACCUAUGGGUCAGAAGAAUGACCAAAGACCUCUUGUGCUGUCACCAGUGACAUUGCACAGCUGCUGCCAUGGCUGACAGCAAGGCUGGGCACUGAGCUGCUCUGCACACCUGCUGUCUAUGUGGGGUGCCAAAAGAAUAAACACAUGCCUUGCUAGGACUGUUUUUUGCUAGAAGUGGCUCCUUGGCUUCCCUUGCAUUCAUUCAGCAAGAUGCCUGCAAGAGCACCUUUCCUUACAGAAAGCCAAGCAGACAGCAGGAACAAAGUCUUUCCCUCCCAUCAAGAGGUCCUGCAGGGUGCUCUGGCUGCCAGCUUACUCCUCUGGACACCUGAUCCCACAGCCCUGUGACUGCUGAGGGCACUGAUCCAGGUUCAGCAGCUUCUCCACCAAGCCAGUGAACAUUUCCGUCUAUGUCAGCACAGAACAUCUCCCCUCCACCUCUCUUUCCACCACAGAAAAAAAGCUUUACCAUUUCCAAGAAGCACCAGAAGGUUCCCCAUUAAUUAUAUCCAUAUUUCCAUGUAAGUGCAUAAAGGUGUCUCUCCUUCCUGGGCUAGGGCCACUGACCUCAACAACUUUUUCUCCACGGAGAGCCUCUGCAGGAGGUACAAGUGCCCAUCACCUGUGCAAAGAGGAACCUAACUACUGAGACACCACAGAUGCUACAGAACUUUCCUGUGUGUCCCUGUGGGGAUCCGUAGCUCUCUUCACACAGAAGACAGCAUCACGUAUACUUCCCCCAGGAUAAGCAUCCUGAUUCAUGCUUUGGCCAGCAUAAGCUGGCAUUGCUCUGAGGAUUCCACAGACUCUAAGCUGGUUUAUUUUCCUCUGUCAAUCUGGGAUUUGGUGUUAAGAUUACACAAACACAGAGAAAGUAAAUCUCUAUGACCAGUUCUUAAGCCCUUGCAUGCACAUAAUCAAACUGCAGAAGCACAACAUUUAAGAUGCUGAUAUUGAAACUGAUUAUCUCAGUUUCAAAAGGUUUUGUUCAUUGGGUUGUUUCUGGGUUUUUUUUGCUCCUGCUACCCAAUGGAAAACGCCUCUACAGUUCAGCAGCACAUUUCCUGGUGGUCACAUGAUGACAGCUGACAAGCAAACCCAAAUGUCAAAUAACUGUUAUUUCAUCUCACGUCAAUCCUGAGACAGAGUCCUGAUUAAGACAGCAAUUUAAAAUAAUUUUUAAAUGUUGUAAACAACCCAGGAAAUGCUUUCCAAAGAGCAUCCCAAACAACACUACCCAAUCUAGCAACACACGGCUUUCUGUCUCUAUUCUUAGUACUAAAAGCAUCUCCUCAGCUUGCUUUUUCAUUUUCUGUCAUGCCUUGUCAUGCUUCAGGAGAACAGCAAACUACCACAGAUGGGGUUUGAUAGCCAGCUUUGCAUUUGCCAGCAGAACCCACCCCUUCCCCCCAAAAUAGAAGCAAUUCAGCAGCUCCAACCCACCCUCAGACAGGGCUGUCCAGGACAACAUUCACAUGCCACGCAGACAAUUGAGAUGCUGUGGGUUAACUGUGAGUCAGAGGGACUUAGUACCAGCUCAAAGACAGCUUUUCAGUGAAUACAGCUUCACAUCCCAUCAUUUAUUCAGGCUGCUAUGCUCCCAAAGCAGGCACAGCUCACCAAAGCGAGAUGAUUCUAGACCUUACCAAAACUACAUUCCCUACUCAGUAUUAGGGAUGAAAGAAUCCUACAGUAGCUGCACUUUAGCAUUCCUCCUGACUGAAAAAGGACGGUCUCACCAUGUCACAUAAGCCAGUUUUUCUCACCCAGGCCGCUGCCUUUCAGAUUUAUACAGACAGGUGACCAUCCUCAAAGCUCCACACCUAGCAUGUGUGAAAAGCUGCAGGUUUGGAGGUACACACAAAGAGGAGAGAGCAAUGCCAGCAUGAGAACUUUUCACUUGCUUGGCAUAUAAAGGUGCAUUUCCUUGUGUGCUGGACUGCAAGAGCCCCAAGAGAUGGUAUAGGUAUGACAGAGGCUAUUUUCCAGAAUACCCUUGGGGCAAGAAGCUGUUCAUGCCACAACACUGCACUAUGCACAAUCAAGUAACUUGUAAACACAGGAGACUGCCCAAUGCACCUUGACGCCCAUACAGAUUAUUCUAGUGGUAAAAUUGCACUGCUUUUUCAUGCCAGCAAACAUAAGAACCUCAAAGCUGGAGAGAGAGAGCACUUCAGAUGCAAGGCAACAUCACUGUUGUAACCUUGAAUAACAAAUCCAAGAUCCCUACAACUUAAUGGUAAAGUGCUUAACCAGAGCUAGGCAAGGUCAUAUCAGACUGUAAAUACCUCCUGAUCUCUUAUAUAAAUAUAAGGUGCCCUGCCUAAGUAAUAUGCACGCCCAAUGUUGUUCUCUUUGGUGUUCUCAAGCACGCCUUUGAAGCCCACAGUGUGUUCUGAAGGCUGCAGAUCACUUGGUCAGGGCUUUCAGUUCAGUGUCAGCCCAUAGCAAAGCCUUCCUGUCCUACACAAAUGAUGACAGUGAGGUCUUAACUAAUAGAGAAAGCAGAAUGAGUUCACAGGCAAGCUGAACAGAUGCAAAGGCCAGAGGGAAAAAGCUGGAAAAGAAUCCACUAAGUGGGAUCUUAUUCUCUGAAGUCAAGCAAGAUGUCUGCUCUCUCUGAUCAGGGUCUCAAAAGACUGGACUCACAGAAAAACCCCCAAGGAAGAGGUUUUUCCACUCCUCCCCUGCAAGUACUUGUCUCUGCACAGGAGAGUCUUCUUGAGCUCACAGGCAUGAGGUCACUAACUUUAUCUACACACAGGUAAAUAAGCAAGGCUUCUUUCUGCAAAAUUCCCCCCUUUGUCAUUCAUCAAGAGACACUAUUCAGCAUUGCAGUUUCAUGGACAGAGCAACUGACAGUGCAGAGCAGCAUUUGCCACAGGAUUCAAAGCCCAUGGGCCUGCUCUCAGCAGCACAGGUACUCAGGACCCCAAGAGCCUGUAUGACAAUGAACUGCUCUCCCAGUUCAGGCCUAGCUGUACCUCCUGCCCUGUCCUCUUUUACCUCUAUGAUUUCAUUCUAACCUCUGCACCUCUGCCUGGAAGCUGCACUGUCAGGAGGGUUUAUGACACGGACAAGGUACGGCCACGCACCCCGUGUGCUUUUACUUUCAGAAGCCAACUCUGUUGCCUUAGACAGAGCUGCUCUCUACCAAAGAUAACUGUCAGUCAUGCAGGUGAGUCAGAAGAAAAUAACUCCAGAGAAGUCAAACAGAAGACAGAACUGGAACACCCAAGACCCAAGCCUUGGUUAGCUUUAAAGAGCAUGGUUUGCCCUCCUUCAGGAGAAAGCUCUCUACCAGGCUGGAUGCCUCCCUCAGGGCAGUGCCUGCCACACCGUGGAUGAUGCUCUGUCCUGGCUAUUUUUAUGUUCAAAGUAAACAUGAUAACAGGA